UACGUAGGGGGCAAGCGUUGUCCGGAAUCAUUGGGCGUAAAGAGCACGCAGGCGGCUUACCAAGUCAGAUGUGAAAUGUCCCGGCUCAACCGGGGACCUGCAUUUGAAACUGGUAGGCUAGAGUGCAGGAGAGGGAAGUGGAAUUCCUAGUGUAGCGGUGAAAUGCGCAGAUAUUAGGAAGAACACCGGUGGCGAAGGCGGCUUCCUGGACUGUAACUGACGCUGAGGUGCGAAAGCUAGGGGAGCGAACAGG
RNAcentral lists this ribosomal RNA (253 nucleotides) under uncultured bacterium. Its description in RNAcentral is "partial 16S ribosomal RNA". It matches the Rfam family "Bacterial small subunit ribosomal RNA", at positions 524 to 776 of the family's 1533-position model. The record is from RNAcentral.